GACGAACGCUGGCGGCGUGCUUAACACAUGCAAGUCGAACGGAAAGGCCCUGCUUUUGUGGGGUGCUAGAGUGGCGAACGGGUGAGUAACACGUGAGUAACCUGCUCUUGACUUUGGGAUAACUUCAGGAAACUGGGGCUAAUACCGGAUAGGAGCUCCUGCUGCAUGGUGGGGGUUGGAAAGUUUCGGCGGUUGGGGAUGGACUCGCGGCUUAUCAGCUUGUUGGUGGGGUAGUGGCUUACCAAGGCUUUGACGGGUAGCCGGCCUGAGAGGGUGACCGGCCACAUUGGGACUGAGAUACGGCCCAGACUCCUACGGGAGGCAGCAGUGGGGAAUAUUGCACAAUGGGCGGAAGCCUGAUGCAGCAACGCCGCGUGCGGGAUGACGGCCUUCGGGUUGUAAACCGCUUUCGCCAGUGACGAAGCGUGAGUGACGGUAAUGGGUAAAGAAGCACCGGCUAACUACGUG
RNAcentral lists this ribosomal RNA (468 nucleotides) under uncultured bacterium. RNAcentral's name for it is "partial 16S ribosomal RNA". It matches the Rfam family "Bacterial small subunit ribosomal RNA", at positions 28 to 507 of the family's 1533-position model. The record is from RNAcentral.